Molecule: long non-coding RNA, 778 nt
Organism: Tribolium castaneum (red flour beetle)
Lineage: Eukaryota; Metazoa; Arthropoda; Insecta; Coleoptera; Tenebrionidae
Exons: 3
Source: RefSeq, a predicted model, not a curated record
CGCUGUAAAACUUUUUUUUAAAUAAAUAGGUUCAACUUAGGUUUCUUAUCACAGCGAUUUCGAUAUGUCGCUGAUAUUGAUAAACUACCAUCAGUUGUUCUAAUUUUUUCUAAUAUUCCCAUGUUUGCCCGCCAAGAUAACACGCACAGAUCCAAUAUAACUAACUUUAUCAGAGUUCAACGAAAGCGUCCAUAAAAAAUGAACAAUGGAAUCAACUUUUAUGAGAAGAUUUAAAGUUCAAACCACAAAUCGGCUUAUCAGAAGCGUUCCACAGACCACACCUAUUUGAGAAGAUUUAGAAAAAUUUCUAAGGGCGCCAAAAGUGAUGUCACUAAGAUUAGCGAAAAAUCUGUUGUUAUUUUAAUUACUCACAUCUGAUAACCCGCAGAGUGUGUCGAGUGUAAAGACGAACAUGUUUUGGGAUAUUUGCUGCUGUCGGCGAGACAAAAAUGUUAAAACAGAAGAAAAUGCCAACUCAAAUUCGGUGAACGAAUCUCAAAAUACUCAAAUUAGCGUUAUAAAUGUGAACGGCACAGGGGAAAAUGGUUCAAAUAGUCCCUAUCGAGAGCGGACAGGGACGGAAUCCAGUGUUUCUAGUAUGCAUAGCAUCAAAUCGUAUUAUAGUGUCAAGUCAACGAUGUCGCGAGACGGAGAUUUCUACAGUAUCUGUAGCGAAGAAUCUUUUAAAAGUACUUAGUGGUUCUAUGACAUUUAAGUUUUCACCUGGACCUUAAAAUACGUUUGUUGUAUUUUUAUUAUAAUAAAUUAUUUAUAACGA